CUCACAGCUGUUAUAAAAACAAAGAAGGUAAAGCAACCCUACAGCAGAGUCAAACAUGGCGAGUGUUACUGUGACAUCCUGUUGGAAGAGUCUUCUGCUGGUGGCACUUAUGGGUGUACCAGGUUUGGGGAUCACCGUGGAGAUUUCUUGGACUGGCAGGGUGACAGCUGGUUCCCCCACUACUUUCACAUGCUCAUCUAGUUGUUUUCCAAACUGCAUCUACACCUGGUCCUUUAAUGGCAGCACAGUCAAUGGGAGCACGUUAACUUGGACACCAGAUGGACUGGAUGAUACAGUGAAACUGCAAUGCACUGUCUUAGAUCUACAAACAGGAGAGUACUUAAGUACUGACGCCACUGUAGAAAUUAUAAAUCAAGUGUCUGUACAGGUCAGUCCGCUGAACACUGUCCCAUCUCUCAACCAGUCACUAAAUCUCAUCUGCCAUGAUGCCAGAUUUGGUGAUCCACAAGGUCUAUCAGACCUGGUCUGGUAUAAAGAUGGACAAAAGGUGACCCUGCGUGAAAAUAUGUGGCUUCAGCAAAACAACCUCACACUUCACUUUGACUCACUGCUGCCUUCUGAUGCUGGUUUCUACCAGUGUCAAAUUUAUCUGCCUACAUCACAGACAAGAGUUGUCAGCCUGGGCUAUCUGUGUUGGCUCAGCUAUGAUCAGUGGAACGUCAGCAUUAGUGGACCUGACACUGUGUUUCCUGGUCAGUUAAGUGAGUUCACCUGCCUGACCAGCUGCACCUUAAAUGUGGAAUGCACCGUCACGUGGAAGUUCAGGGGAGGUUUCCCUGUUGGAACCUACCUUUCCAUCAAUAAAAAUGUGGUCAAGUGGACUCCUUCACUACCUGGGACUUUUCAGAACUUCACCUGCGUUGCAGAGAAUAAAGCUGCUGGACGUUCUGCUGAGGCCACCAAGAUGGUAGAAGUUAAAGAUAUCUGGCGAACAGAUAUCCCAAUCUCUGGAUCAGAGGCGAUGCAGCUCAGUGGACUUUUUGCAGGAAUCCUCAGUCUGGGACUGUGGGUCCUCUAGGGUUGGGCUCUAGAAACAAUUUACUUAUAUUCACUUCAAAGAGAUAGUUCAUCCCAGUAUCAGCUUUAUGCCCAAAUAAACACAUGACUACACCAUGGAUUAUCAUAGAAUAGUUACUACAACUAAAUGCAGCUGAUAUCUACUCAACUCAGACUUACACAGUUUUCGUGUGAAUAUUUUCCCUGCUAUUUAUUUCUGCAGCAGCUUAUUCUUUUUAUUAUUAUUCGUGCAAAAGAAACAUAUGUGAUGUCAAUUGUUAGAAAAGUAGAAGCAGUAGUUUUUACUUAUGAAUUAUUGUAAAACAUAUGAACACACAUAUGAAAAAUAAAUUGUGUGCGUUAAGUCACAGUUGGAGUUGAUUCCUAUUUAACAAUUAAAGUUGACACAUUAUUUCCUUUAUGCUCAUUUAUAGUCUACGUUUUAAUUAUGACCACAAGGUGUCACCAAAAACACAGAAGCACUGGAUUUCAACGACAGUGGAACAUAAAAUGUAAAAUAUUUCUAUGAAUGAUAUUGCAAUAAGUACUCUGACUGUUUGGGGUUUUUUUUCAAAAACAAACUUCAAGAUUUAUUAAAAAUUAUUUCGCUGGAAUGUAACUCCUUCAGUGAGAAAGGAUUUUUGUGAAGUCAGCUUGAUAAACAAAUUGUGUGACGUCCAUCCUGCGCACAUGUGGUCAGUGAUUCAACAAUCUGUUUCAUGUUCCUUUGAAACUGAACAAUUAAUGCAGAGAAGACAACCACACUGAGCAAACUGAGAGCGACUGAGUUUUUCAGGUGUUUUGUUUCUACCUUUGUUAUUUUCUUUUAUUCUUUUGUCAUAUCUCAGUUGCUUUAUUAGGCGUAAGAAUAGGUGGGGAAAAUGAAACUAAAACAUUUGCUUUCAUUUUGUUGUAAAAGAAACCAAAAUUUGCAUGUUAACCUCAUUCUAGUUUCAGUUGAAAUGCUGCAAACUCUGUAGUAUCUCUGUGUGUGUGUGUGUGUGUGUGUGUGUGUGUGUGUGUGUACAUAUAUAUAUAUAUAUAUAUAUAUACAUAUCCUGUGUUUAAUUAUAAACUAGAAAAUGUAGGUUGGUGUUUUAUGUUAUGUCUGUUAUGUACUUUCUCUUUUAAAUUAAAGAAACAAAAAAUAUUCCAUAUUGGAAGACAUCACCAUUAGGGAUGGGUAUUGAUAAGAUUUUAACGAUUCCGAUUCCAUUUUCGAUUCUGUUUAACGAUUCGAUUCUUUAUCGAUUCUCUUAUCGAUUCUCUUAUCGAUUCUUGUUUUUAAAAAAGGAGAACACUAAGGUCGAUUAGCUUAGAACUGUUUUAUAUCUUCUCUUUCAACAAGAUAGAAAUUUAGGAGUAACAUGGCCUUACAAACCCAACAGUGAGAUCUUAAGAGAUCCACAGCCUACGGCUCUUCAAUGGGGUGUCACAGGGUCCCCGGGGAAAAUUGUAAACGUAAAAUAAUAAAAUAAAUAUUCUUCUGUAGCAAUAACAAAGUAUAACAUAAAUUAUUCUGUAGCAAUUACACAAGAAUAUCCAGUAAUCCAGCUGCCCCUCUGUUGGUCUUCCUUGGUCUCUUGUGUUCUGGGGGCCUCUGGAUGUCUAGAGUUUUGAUCUCCUCCAUACCUGCGUCAUGCCCUGGAGGACGGGGCAGUGGCCCCCCACACCCUCUAGCAGAUCAUUACAUGAAGGAACCUUUAAAAAAAAACAAAAAAAAACAAGCGCGUUCAUGCUCACAGGUGUACACACAGGUGAUCACACACAAACUACACCCUUUUUGGCUCUUACCUCAAAGCACACUGUGCGCUGUCGAUCUUACGUGCUGCACAAUAAUGUCUAACAUUUAGUAUUUACUGUCAUAUUCCCAUAGAUCAUUGUGAUGUUGUUUAUUACUCUCGUUUUCUUCUGC
Long non-coding RNA from Oreochromis aureus, 2932 nucleotides. The record is from Ensembl. NCBI's taxonomy places the organism in Eukaryota, Metazoa, Chordata, Actinopteri, Cichliformes, Cichlidae.